Molecule: ribosomal RNA, 484 nt
Filed under: uncultured bacterium
Lineage: Bacteria
Description: partial 16S ribosomal RNA
Rfam family: Bacterial small subunit ribosomal RNA
Source: RNAcentral
AUUGAACGCUGGCGGCAGGCCUAACACAUGCAAGUCGAGCGGAUGAAGGGAGCUUGCUCCUGGAUUCAGCGGCGGACGGGUGAGUAAUGCCUAGGAAUCUGCCUGGUAGUGGGGGAUAACGUCCGGAAACGGGCGCUAAUACCGCAUACGUCCUGAGGGAGAAAGUGGGGGAUCUUCGGACCUCACGCUAUCAGAUGAGCCUAGGUCGGAUUAGCUAGUUGGUGGGGUAAAGGCCUACCAAGGCGACGAUCCGUAACUGGUCUGAGAGGAUGAUCAGUCACACUGGAACUGAGACACGGUCCAGACUCCUACGGGAGGCAGCAGUGGGGAAUAUUGGACAAAGGGCGAAAGCCUGAUCCAGCCAUGCCGCGUGUGUGAAGAAGGUCUUCGGAUUGUAAAGCACUUUAAGUUGGGAGGAAGGGCAGUAAGUUAAUACAUUGCUGUUUUGACGUUACCAACAGAAUAAGCACCGGCUAACUUCGUG